UAGGGAAUCUUCGGCAAUGGACGAAAGCCUGACCGAGCAACGCCGCGUGAGUGAAGAAGGUUUUCGGAUCGUAAAACUCUGUUGUUAGAGAAGAACAAGGACGUUAGUAACUGAACGUCCCCUGACGGUAUCUAACCAGAAAGCCACGGCUAACUACGUGCCAGCAGCCGCGGUAAUACGUAGGUGGCAAGCGUUGUCCGGAUUUAUUGGGCGUAAAGCGAGCGCAGGCGGUUUCUUAAGUCUGAUGUGAAAGCCCCCGGCUCAACCGGGGAGGGUCAUUGGAAACUGGGAGACUUGAGUGCAGAAGAGGAGAGUGGAAUUCCAUGUGUAGCGGUGAAAUGCGUAGAUAUAUGGAGGAACACCAGUGGCGAAGGCGGCUCUCUGGUCUGUAGCUGACGCUGAGGCUCGAAAGCGUGGGGAGCAAACAGG
Molecule: ribosomal RNA, 429 nt
Filed under: Gemmatimonadota bacterium
Lineage: Bacteria; Pseudomonadati; Gemmatimonadota
Description: Gemmatimonadetes bacterium partial 16S ribosomal RNA
Rfam family: Bacterial small subunit ribosomal RNA
Source: RNAcentral